This 869-nucleotide ribosomal RNA is filed under the name uncultured archaeon. RNAcentral describes it as "bacterial SSU rRNA". It matches the Rfam family "Archaeal small subunit ribosomal RNA", at positions 1 to 878 of the family's 1478-position model. The record is from RNAcentral.
CUCCCGGUUGAUCCUGCCGGACCCGACUGCUAUCAGAGUGGGACUAAGCCAUGCGAGUCGACGUAGCAAUGCGUGGCGAACGGCUCAGUAACACGUAGUCAACAUGCCCAGGGGACGUGGAUAACCUCGGGAAACUGAGAAUAAACCACGAUAGGUCACGAUUUCUGGAAUGGAUCAUGGCCUAAAUCUACAUGGCCCCUGGAUUGGACUGCGGCCGAUCAGGCUGUUGGUGAGGUAAUGGCCCACCAAACCUAUAACCGGUACGGGCUCUGAGAGGAGAAGCCCGGAGAUGGGCACUGAGACAAGGGCCCAGGCCCUAUGGGGCGCAGCAGGCGCGAAACCUCUGCAAUAGGCGAAAGCCUGACAGGGUUACUCUGAGUGAUUUCCGCUAAGGGGAUCUUUUGGCACCUCUAAAAAUGGUGCAGAAUAAGGGGUGGGCAAGUCUGGUGUCAGCCGCCGCGGUAAUACCAGCACCCCGAGUGGUCGGGACGAUUAUUGGGCCUAAAGCAUCCGUAGCCGGUUCUGCAAGUCUUCCGUUAAAUCCAGCCGCUCAACGGAUGGGCCGCGGAGGAUACUACAGGACUAGGAGGCGGGAGAGGCAAGCGGUACUCAGUGGGUAGGGGUAAAAUCCUUUGAUCCAUUGAAGACCACCAGUGGCGAAGGCGGCUUGCCAGAACGCGCUCGACGGUGAGGGAUGAAAGCUGGGGGAGCAAACCGGAUUAGAUACCCGGGUAGUCCCAGCUGUAAACGAUGCAGACUCGGUGAUGGGCUAGCCUUGUGCCAGCCCAGUGCCGCAGGGAAGCCGUUAAGUCUGCCGCCUGGGGAGUACGGUCGCAAGACUGAAACUUAAAGGAAUUGGCGGGGGAGCA